RNAcentral lists this ribosomal RNA (1329 nucleotides) under Acinetobacter baumannii 1195185_11. RNAcentral describes it as "bacterial SSU rRNA". It matches the Rfam family "Bacterial small subunit ribosomal RNA", at positions 8 to 1332 of the family's 1533-position model. The record is from RNAcentral. Lineage: Bacteria; Pseudomonadati; Pseudomonadota; Gammaproteobacteria; Moraxellales; Moraxellaceae.
AGAGUUUGAUCAUGGCUCAGAUUGAACGCUGGCGGCAGGCUUAACACAUGCAAGUCGAGCGGGGGAAGGUAGCUUGCUACCGGACCUAGCGGCGGACGGGUGAGUAAUGCUUAGGAAUCUGCCUAUUAGUGGGGGACAACAUCUCGAAAGGGAUGCUAAUACCGCAUACGUCCUACGGGAGAAAGCAGGGGAUCUUCGGACCUUGCGCUAAUAGAUGAGCCUAAGUCGGAUUAGCUAGUUGGUGGGGUAAAGGCCUACCAAGGCGACGAUCUGUAGCGGGUCUGAGAGGAUGAUCCGCCACACUGGGACUGAGACACGGCCCAGACUCCUACGGGAGGCAGCAGUGGGGAAUAUUGGACAAUGGGGGGAACCCUGAUCCAGCCAUGCCGCGUGUGUGAAGAAGGCCUUAUGGUUGUAAAGCACUUUAAGCGAGGAGGAGGCUACUCUAGUUAAUACCUAGAGAUAGUGGACGUUACUCGCAGAAUAAGCACCGGCUAACUCUGUGCCAGCAGCCGCGGUAAUACAGAGGGUGCGAGCGUUUAAUUCGGAUUUACUGGGCGUAAAGCGUGCGUAGGCGGCUUAUUAAGUCGGAUGUGAAAUCCCGAGCUUAACUUGGGAAUUGCAUUCGAUACUGGUGAGCUAGAGUAUGGGAGAGGAUGGUAGAAUUCCAGGUGUAGCGGUGAAAUGCGUAGAGAUCUGGAGGAAUACCGAUGGCGAAGGCAGCCAUCUGGCCUAAUACUGACGCUGAGGUACGAAAGCAUGGGGAGCAAACAGGAUUAGAUACCCUGGUAGUCCAUGCCGUAAACGAUGUCUACUAGCCGUUGGGGCCUUUGAGGCUUUAGUGGCGCAGCUAACGCGAUAAGUAGACCGCCUGGGGAGUACGGUCGCAAGACUAAAACUCAAAUGAAUUGACGGGGGCCCGCACAAGCGGUGGAGCAUGUGGUUUAAUUCGAUGCAACGCGAAGAACCUUACCUGGCUUGACAUACUAGAAACUUUCCAGAGAUGGAUUGGUGCCUUCGGGAUCUAGAUACAGGUGCUGGCAUGGCUGUCGUCAGCUCGUGUCGUGAGAUGUUGGGUUAGUCCCGCAACGAGCGCAAACCCUUUUCCUUACUUGCCAGCAUUUCGGAUGGGAACUUUAAGGAUACUGCCAGUGACAAACUGGAGGAAGGCGGGGACGACGUCAAGUCAUCAUGGCCCUUACGGCCAGGGCUACACACGUGCUACAAUGGUCGGUACAAAGGGUUGCUACACAGCGAUGUGAUGCUAAUCUCAAAAAGCCGAUCGUAGUCCGGAUUGGAGUCUGCAACUCGACUCCAUGAAGUCGGAAU